The sequence is a regulatory RNA element, 151 nucleotides long. It matches the Rfam family "atpB RNA". The record is from Rfam.
AAGCGGCCGCGCCGAUGGAUGUGCGACGGAGUCCUGGCCGGCCGUUCCUUUUCACCAACGCAAACCAAUCGACGUCCAUCGCACCGCUGGCCUGGCCGUGGAAACGGCGGCCCGCGGCCCUACCGUGGGAGAGAACGCUGAGCGUGACAAC